UCAUCUUCGGGGGUAGAGCACUGUUUCGGCUAGGGGGUCAUCCCGACUUACCAACCCGAUGCAAACUACGAAUACCGAAGAAUGUUAUCACGGGAGACACACGGCGGGUGCUAACGUCCGUCGUGAAGAGGGAAACAACCCAGACCGCCAGCUAAGGUCCCAAAGUCAUGGUUAAGUGGGAAACGAUGUGGGAAGGCACAGACAGCCAGGAUGUUGGCUUAGAAGCAGCCAUCAUUUAAAGAAAGCGUAAUAGCUCACUGGUCGAGUCGGCCUGCGCGGAAGAUGUAACGGGGCUAAACCAUGCACCGAAGCUGCGGCAGCGACACUAUGUGUUGUUGGGUAGGGGAGCGUUCUGUAAGCCUGCGAAGGUGACCUGUGAGGGUUGCUGGAGGUAUCAGAAGUGCGAAUGCUGACAUAAGUAACGAUAAAGCGGGUGAAAAGCCCGCUCGCCGGAAGACCAAGGGUUCCUGUCCAACGUUAAUCGGGGCAGGGUGAGUCGAC
This 501-nucleotide ribosomal RNA is filed under the name Klebsiella pneumoniae. Its description in RNAcentral is "partial 23S ribosomal RNA". It matches the Rfam family "Bacterial large subunit ribosomal RNA", at positions 890 to 1388 of the family's 2925-position model. Lineage: Bacteria; Pseudomonadati; Pseudomonadota; Gammaproteobacteria; Enterobacterales; Enterobacteriaceae. The record is from RNAcentral.